GUGGGGAAUCUUAGACAAUGGGGGGAACCCUGAUCCAGCCAUGCCGCGUGUGUGAAGAAGGCCUUUUGGUUGUAAAGCACUUUAAGCGAGGAGGAGGCUACCGAGAUUAAUACUCUUGGAUAGUGGACGUUACUCGCAGAAUAAGCACCGGCUAACUCUGUGCCAGCAGCCGCGGUAAUACAGAGGGUGCAAGCGUUAAUCGGAUUUACUGGGCGUAAAGCGCGCGUAGGUGGCCAAUUAAGUCAAAUGUGAAAUCCCCGAGCUUAACUUGGGAAUUGCAUGCGAUACUGGUUGGCUAGAGUAUGGGAGAGGAUGGUAGAAUUCCAGGUGUAGCGGUGAAAUGCGUAGAGAUCUGGAGGAAUACCGAUGGCGAAGGCAGCCAUCUGGCCUAAUACUGACACUGAGGUGCGAAAGCAUGGGGAGCAAACAGGAUUAGAAACCCGGGUAGUCC
Molecule: ribosomal RNA, 451 nt
Filed under: uncultured bacterium
Lineage: Bacteria
Description: partial 16S ribosomal RNA
Rfam family: Bacterial small subunit ribosomal RNA
Source: RNAcentral